AUUGAACGCUGGCGGCAUGCCUUACACAUGCAAGUCGAACGGCAGCACGGGAGCAAUCCUGGUGGCGAGUGGCGAACGGGUGAGUAAAGUAUCGGAACGUGCCCAGUCGUGGGGGAUAACGUAGCGAAAGUUACGCUAAUACCGCAUACGAUCUAUGGAUGAAAGCGGGGGAUCGAAAGACCCCGCGCGAUUGGAGCGGCCGAUAUCAGAUUAGGUAGUUGGUGGGGUAAAGGCUCACCAAGCCGACGAUCUGUAGCUGGUCUGAGAGGACGACCAGCCACACUGGGACUGAGACACGGCCCAGACUCCUACGGGAGGCAGCAGUGGGGAAUUUUGGACAAUGGGCGCAAGCCUGAUCCAGCCAUGCCGCGUGCAGGAUGAAGGCCUUCGGGUUGUAAACUGCUUUUGUACGGAACGAAAAGGUUUGACUUAAUACGUUGGACUCAUGACGGUACCGUAAGAAUAAGCACCGGCUAACUACGUGCCAGCCGCCGCGGUAA
Molecule: ribosomal RNA, 500 nt
Filed under: uncultured bacterium
Lineage: Bacteria
Description: partial 16S ribosomal RNA
Rfam family: Bacterial small subunit ribosomal RNA
Source: RNAcentral